RNAcentral lists this transfer RNA (75 nucleotides) under Rubrivivax sp. Its description in RNAcentral is "tRNA-Arg". It matches the Rfam family "tRNA". Rfam says of the family: Transfer RNA (tRNA) molecules are approximately 80 nucleotides in length. The record is from RNAcentral. Lineage: Bacteria; Pseudomonadati; Pseudomonadota; Betaproteobacteria; Burkholderiales; Sphaerotilaceae.
GGCUCCAUAGUUAAAUGGAUAUAACAGCCCCCUCCUAAGGGGCAGGUGCAGGUUCGAUUCCUGCUGGGGCCACCA